CCUUCGAUAGCUCAGUUGGUAGAGCGGAGGACUGUAGAUCCUUAGGUCGCUGGUUAGACUCCGGCUCGAAGGA
Molecule: transfer RNA, 73 nt
Filed under: Danio rerio (zebrafish)
Lineage: Eukaryota; Metazoa; Chordata; Actinopteri; Cypriniformes; Danionidae
Description: tRNA-Tyr (GTA) (tRNA-Tyr-GTA-34-1)
Rfam family: tRNA
About the family: Transfer RNA (tRNA) molecules are approximately 80 nucleotides in length. Their secondary structure includes four short double-helical elements and three loops (D, anti-codon, and T loops).
Source: RNAcentral